AUAACCGCCUGUUCUGUCGCACGGCAAUUUGUGCCGGGAGGAAAGUCCGGACAACGCAGAGCACCAUACUUCCUAACAGGAAGGGCUUGUUUUACAAGUACAGACAGUGCCACAGAAAAUAUACCGCCUGCAAAGGUAAGGGUGAAAAUGUGAGGUAAGGGCUCACACUCGUAUGGGUGACCAUGCGUGCGGCAAACCUUAUGGGUUGAAAGACCAUGUAAACCGGGGCUUGAGGGCUGCUCGUCCGACCCGGAGGGUAGGUCGAUAGAGGUAUUUAGUGAUAAAUAUCCAAGAUAAAUGACAGAAACCGGAGCAAUCCGGAUACAGAAUCCGGCUUAUAGGGCGGUUAUUUUU
This 354-nucleotide RNase P RNA is filed under the name Bacteroidales bacterium. RNAcentral's name for it is "RNase P RNA component class A". It matches the Rfam family "Bacterial RNase P class A". Rfam says of the family: Ribonuclease P (RNase P) is a ubiquitous endoribonuclease, found in archaea, bacteria and eukarya as well as chloroplasts and mitochondria. Its best characterised activity is the generation of mature 5'-ends of tRNAs by cleaving the 5'-leader elements of precursor-tRNAs. The record is from RNAcentral. Lineage: Bacteria; Pseudomonadati; Bacteroidota; Bacteroidia; Bacteroidales.